Molecule: unclassified non-coding RNA, 231 nt
Filed under: plant metagenome
Description: partial contains small subunit ribosomal RNA, internal transcribed spacer 1, and 5.8S ribosomal RNA
Source: RNAcentral
UUUCCGUAGGUGAACCUGCGGAAGGAUCAUUAGAGUGAUCAUGCCCUCACGGGUAGACCUCCCACCCUUUGUUUACAAUACCUUUGUUGCUUUGGCGUGCCCGUUUGGCCCCGCGCUGAACAACCGGCCCCGGCUGGUCAGUGCCCGCCAGAGAACCGAAAACUCUGAAUUAAAUGUCGUCUGAGUACUAUGUAAUAGUUAAAACUUUCAACAACGGAUCUCUUGGUUCUG